Molecule: ribosomal RNA, 497 nt
Filed under: uncultured bacterium
Lineage: Bacteria
Description: partial 16S ribosomal RNA
Rfam family: Bacterial small subunit ribosomal RNA
Source: RNAcentral
GAUGAACGCUGGCGGCGUGCCUAAUACAUGCAAGUCGAGCGAACAGAUGAGGAGCUUGCUCCUCUGACGUUAGCGGCGGACGGGUGAGUAACACGUGGAUAACCUACCUAUAAGACUGGGAUAACUGCGGGAAACCGGAGCUAAUACCGGAUAAUAUAUUGAACCGCAUGGUUCAAUAGUGAAAGACGGUUUUGCUGUCACUUAUAGAUGGAUCCGCGCCGCAUUAGCUAGUUGGUAAGGUAACGGCUUACCAAGGCGACGAUGCGUAGCCGACCUGAGAGGGUGAUCGGCCACACUGGAACUGAGACACGGUCCAGACUCCUACGGGAGGCAGCAGUAGGGAAUCUUCCGCAAUGGGCGAAAGCUUGACGGAGCAACGCCGCGUGAGUGAUGAAGGUCUUCGGAUCGUAAAACUCUGUUAUUAGGGAAGAACAAAUGUGUAAGUAACUAUGCACGUCUUGACGGUACCUAAUCAGAAAGCCACGGCUAACUACGUG